RNAcentral lists this ribosomal RNA (301 nucleotides) under uncultured bacterium. Its description in RNAcentral is "partial 16S ribosomal RNA". It matches the Rfam family "Bacterial small subunit ribosomal RNA", at positions 509 to 809 of the family's 1533-position model. The record is from RNAcentral.
CAGCCGCCGCGGUAAUACGUAGGGUGCAAGCGUUAAUCGGAAUUACUGGGCGUAAAGCGUGCGCAGGCGGUUUGUUAAGACAGAUGUGAAAUCCCCGGGCUCAACCUGGGAACUGCAUUUGUGACUGGCAAGCUAGAGUAUGGCAGAGGGGGGUGGAAUUCCGCGUGUAGCAGUGAAAUGCGUAGAUAUGCGGAGGAACACCGAUGGCGAAGGCAGCCCCCUGGGCCAAUACUGACGCUCAUGCACGAAAGCGUGGGGAGCAAACAGGAUUAGAUACCCGUGUAGUCCCUGUCUCUUAUAA